This is a non-coding RNA of Anas platyrhynchos (mallard), 181 nucleotides long. NCBI's taxonomy places the organism in Eukaryota, Metazoa, Chordata, Aves, Anseriformes, Anatidae. The record is from RefSeq and is a predicted model, not a curated record.
UGGAUCCGGCAGGCACCCGGGAAGGGGCUCGAAUACGUCGCGGGUAUUGACGAUGAUGGUACACAUACUACGCGCCGGCGGUGAAGGGACGCUUCACCCUCUCCAGGAACAACGGGCAGAGCACGGCCACCCUGCAGAUGAACAGCCUCAAGGCCGAAGACACCGCCACCUACUACUGCGC